GACGAACGCUGGCGGCGUGCUUAACACAUGCAAGUCGAACGGUGAAGGGACCGGUUUUUGCUGGUUCUGGAUGAGUGGCGAACGGGUGAGUAACACGUGAGUAACCUGCCCCCUUCUUCUGGAUAACCGCAUGAAAGUGUGGCUAAUACGGGAUAUUCUGCGCCUGCUGCAUGGUGGGUGUGGGAAAGAUAUUGUUUCGGUGGGGGAUGGGCUCGCGGCCUAUCAGCUUGUUGGUGGGGUGAUGGCCUACCAAGGCGGUGACGGGUAGCCGGCCUGAGAGGGUGGACGGUCACACUGGGACUGAGACACGGCCCAGACUCCUACGGGAGGCAGCAGUGGGGAAUAUUGCACAAUGGGCGCAAGCCUGAUGCAGCGACGCCGCGUGAGGGAUGGAGGCCUUCGGGUUGUAAACCUCUUUCGCCAGUGAAGCAGGCCUGUCCCUUUUGUGGGUGGGUUGACGGUAGCGGGAUAAGAAGCGCCGGCUAACUACGU
This 492-nucleotide ribosomal RNA is filed under the name uncultured bacterium. RNAcentral's name for it is "partial 16S ribosomal RNA". It matches the Rfam family "Bacterial small subunit ribosomal RNA", at positions 28 to 506 of the family's 1533-position model. The record is from RNAcentral.